CCGAAUAUGUAAUGAUUUAAGGCUAUAAGCCGAUUAUGGCUAUUAUGCUUAAGUUGAAUUGGAUUUGGAAAUUUGAUGCACUAAAUGAGUGUUACAAUGAAUAAACUGUGCCGUAUAUGUCCUGGUGGAGAUAUCAUGAUUUGUGAUUAUUAAAUACCUAAAGGAAACCAUGAUGUGUAUAAAAUUAUUAUUAUUAGUCCUUUGUGGUAG
RNAcentral lists this long non-coding RNA (210 nucleotides) under Gossypium barbadense (sea-island cotton). RNAcentral describes it as "long non-coding RNA (GBAR_LNC005364)". The record is from RNAcentral. Lineage: Eukaryota; Viridiplantae; Streptophyta; Magnoliopsida; Malvales; Malvaceae.